RNAcentral lists this small RNA (88 nucleotides) under Mytilus galloprovincialis (Mediterranean mussel). Lineage: Eukaryota; Metazoa; Mollusca; Bivalvia; Mytilida; Mytilidae. The record is from RNAcentral.
AUAUAAGAUAUCUCAUAUAAUAUAUAAGAUAUCUCAUAAAAAUGAAAUUAUAUAAGAUAUCUUAUAUAUCAUAGGAGAUAUCUUAUAU